Molecule: ribosomal RNA, 432 nt
Filed under: uncultured bacterium
Lineage: Bacteria
Description: partial 16S ribosomal RNA
Rfam family: Bacterial small subunit ribosomal RNA
Source: RNAcentral
AACGAACGCUGGCGGCAUGCCUAACACAUGCAAGUCGAACGAGACCUUCGGGUCUAGUGGCGCACGGGUGCGUAACGCGUGGGAACCUGCCCUUAGGUUCGGAAUAACUCCCCGAAAGGGGUGCUAAUACCGGAUAAUGUCUUCGGACCAAAGAUUUAUCGCCUUUGGAUGGGCCCGCGUUGGAUUAGCUAGUUGGUAGGGUAAAAGCCUACCAAGGCGACGAUCCAUAGCUGGUCUGAGAGGAUGAUCAGCCACACUGGGACUGAGACACGGCCCAGACUCCUACGGGGGGCAGCAGGGGGGAAUAUUGAACAAUGGGCGAAAGCCUGAUCCAGCAAUGCCGCGGGGGUGAUGAAGGCCUUAGGGUUGUAAAGCUCUUUUCCCCGGGAUGAUAAUGACAGUACCGGGAGAAUAAGCCCCGGCAAACCCCGU